This 584-nucleotide ribosomal RNA is filed under the name uncultured bacterium. RNAcentral's name for it is "bacterial SSU rRNA". It matches the Rfam family "Bacterial small subunit ribosomal RNA", at positions 338 to 916 of the family's 1533-position model. The record is from RNAcentral. RNAcentral also lists the same sequence under 1 other name.
CCUACGGGAGGCAGCAGUGGGGAAUUUUGGACAAUGGGGGCAACCCUGAUCCAGCAAUGCCGCGUGAGUGAAGAAGGCCUUCGGGUUGUAAAGCUCUUUUGUCAGGGAAGAAACACCGGCUCUAACACAGUCCGGGAAUGACGGUACCUGAAGAAUAAGCACCGGCUAACUACGUGCCAGCAGCCGCGGUAAUACGUAGGGUGCGAGCGUUAAUCGGAAUUACUGGGCGUAAAGCGUGCGCAGGCGGUUAUACAAGACAGGCGUGAAAUCCCCGGGCUUAACCUGGGAAUGGCGCCUGUGACUGUAUAGCUAGAGUGUGUCAGAGGGGGGUAGAAUUCCACGUGUAGCAGUGAAAUGCGUAGAUAUGUGGAGGAAUACCAAUGGCGAAGGCAGCCCCCUGGGAUAACACUGACGCUCAUGCACGAAAGCGUGGGGAGCAAACAGGAUUAGAUACCCUGGUAGUCCACGCCCUAAACGAUGCUGACUAGUUGUUCGGGAUUUACAUCCUGAGUAACGUAGCUAACGCGUGAAGUCAGCCGCCUGGGGAGUACGGUCGCAAGAUUAAAACUCAAAUGAAUUGACGG